Molecule: transfer RNA, 34 nt
Filed under: Zygophyllum pterocarpum
Lineage: Eukaryota; Viridiplantae; Streptophyta; Magnoliopsida; Zygophyllales; Zygophyllaceae
Also listed under: 1 other name
Description: partial tRNA-Leu
Source: RNAcentral
GACUUAAAAUCCGUCGAUUUUAUAAAUCGUGAGG